This 465-nucleotide ribosomal RNA is filed under the name uncultured bacterium. Its description in RNAcentral is "partial 16S ribosomal RNA". It matches the Rfam family "Bacterial small subunit ribosomal RNA", at positions 28 to 507 of the family's 1533-position model. The record is from RNAcentral.
GACGAACGCUGGCGGCGUGCUUAACACAUGCAAGUCGAACGGAAAGGCCCCUUUGGGGGUACUCGAGUGGCGAACGGGUGAGUAACACGUGAGUAACCUGCCCUUGACUUCGGGAUAACUUCAGGAAACUGGGGCUAAUACCGGAUAGGAAUCCUUGCUGCAUGGUGGGGGUUGGAAAGCUUCGGCGGUUUUGGAUGGACUCGCGGCUUAUCAGCUUGUUGGUGGGGUAGUGGCUUACCAAGGCUUUGACGGGUAGCCGGCCUGGGAGGGCGACCGGCCACAUUGGGACUGAGAUACGGCCCAGACUCCUACGGGAGGCAGCAGGGGGGAAUAUUGCACAAUGGGCGGAAGCCUGAUGCAGCAACGCCGCGGGCGGGAUGACGGCCUUCGGGUUGUAAACCGCUUUCAGCAGGGGCGAAGCUUGUGGUGACGGUACCUGCAGAAGAAGCACCGGCUAACUACGUG